Molecule: ribosomal RNA, 467 nt
Filed under: uncultured bacterium
Lineage: Bacteria
Description: partial 16S ribosomal RNA
Rfam family: Bacterial small subunit ribosomal RNA
Source: RNAcentral
GACGAACGCUGGCGGCGUGCUUAACACAUGCAAGUCGAACGGAAAGGCCCUGCUUUUGUGGGGUGCUCGAGUGGCGAACGGGUGAGUAACACGUGAGUAACCUGCCCUUGACUUUGGGAUAACUUCAGGAAACUGGGGCUAAUACCGGAUAGGAGCUCCUGUUGCAUGGUGGGGGUUGGAAAGUUUCGGCGGUUGGGGAUGGACUCGCGGCUUAUCAGCUUGUUGGUGGGGUAGUGGCUUACCAAGGCUUUGACGGGUAGCCGGCCUGAGAGGGUGACCGGCCACAUUGGGACUGAGAUACGGCCCAGACUCCUACGGGAGGCAGCAGUGGGGAAUAUUGCACAAUGGGCGGAAGCCUGAUGCAGCAACGCCGCGUGCGGGAUGACGGCCUUCGGGUUGUAAACCGCUUUCGCCUGUGACGAAGCGUGAGUGACGGUAAUGGGGAAAGAAGCACCGGCUAACUACGU